RNAcentral lists this ribosomal RNA (439 nucleotides) under uncultured prokaryote. RNAcentral describes it as "bacterial SSU rRNA". It matches the Rfam family "Bacterial small subunit ribosomal RNA", at positions 338 to 774 of the family's 1533-position model. The record is from RNAcentral.
CCAACGGGGGGCAGCAGUGAGGAAUAUUGGUCAAUGGGCGCAAGCCUGAACCAGCCAUCCCGCGUGAAGGAUGAAGGCCCUAUGGGUCGUAAACUUCUUUUAUACACCAAGAAAAAGCAGGACGUGUCCUGCCCCGACGGUAGUGUAUGAAUAAGCAUCGGCUAACUCCGUGCCAGCAGCCGCGGUAAUACGGAGGAUGCAAGCGUUAUCCGGAUUCAUUGGGUUUAAAGGGUGCGUAGGCGGCUUGUUAAGUCAGUGGUGAAAUCUUGCCGCUUAACGGUAAAAUUGCCAUUGAUACUGAUAAGCUUGAGUACAAUGGAGGUAAGCGGAAUGUGUAGUGUAGCGGUGAAAUGCUUAGAUAUUACACAGAACACCGAUUGCGAAGGCAGCUUACUAAACUGUCACUGACGCUGAUGCACGAAAGCGUGGGGAGCGAACA